Molecule: ribosomal RNA, 468 nt
Filed under: uncultured bacterium
Lineage: Bacteria
Description: partial 16S ribosomal RNA
Rfam family: Bacterial small subunit ribosomal RNA
Source: RNAcentral
GACGAACGCUGGAGGCGUGCUUAACACAUGCAAGUCGAACGGAAAGGCCCUGCUUUUGUGGGGUGCUCGAGUGGCGAACGGGUGAGUAACACGUGAGUAACCUGCCCUUGACUUUGGGAUAACUUCAGGAAACUGGGGCUAAUACCGGAUAGGAGCUCCUGCUGCAUGGUGGGGGUUGGAAAGUUUCGGCGGUUGGGGAUGGACUCGCGGCUUAUCAGCUUGUUGGUGGGGUAGUGGCUUACCAAGGCUUUGACGGGUAGCCGGCCUGAGAGGGUGACCGGCCACAUUGGGACUGAGGUACGGCCCAGACUCCUACGGGAGGCAGCAGUGGGGAAUAUUGCACAAUGGGCGGAAGCCUGAUGCAGCAACGCCGCGUGCGGGAUGACGGCCUUCGGGUUGUAAACCGCUUUCGCCUGUGACGAAGCGUGAGUGACGGUAAUGGGUAAAGAAGCACCGGCUAACUACGUG